Molecule: ribosomal RNA, 498 nt
Filed under: Neurospora pseudoreticulata
Lineage: Eukaryota; Fungi; Ascomycota; Sordariomycetes; Sordariales; Sordariaceae
Description: eukaryotic LSU rRNA
Rfam family: Eukaryotic large subunit ribosomal RNA
Source: RNAcentral
UGAAGCGGCAACAGCUCAAAUUUGAAAUCUGCCUUCGGGCCGAGUUGUAAUUUGUAGAGGAAGCUUUUGGUGAGGCACCUUCUGAGUCCCCUGGAACGGGGCGCCAUAGAGGGUGAGAGCCCCGUAUAGUCGGAUGCCGAUCCAAUGUAAAGCUCCUUCGACGAGUCGAGUAGUUUGGGAAUGCUGCUCAAAAUGGGAGGUAAAUUUCUUCUAAAGCUAAAUACCGGCCAGAGACCGAUAGCGCACAAGUAGAGUGAUCGAAAGAUGAAAAGCACCUUGAAAAGGGGGUUAAAUAGCACGUGAAAUUGUUGAAAGGGAAGCGUUUGCUGGCCAGACUUGCGCCGUCCCCGAUCAUCCGGUGUUCUCACCGGUGCACUCGGGGCGGCGCAGGCCAGCAUCGGUUUCGGCGGGGGGAUAAAGGCCCUGGGAACUGUAGCUCCUUCGGGAGUGUUAUAGCCCCGGGCGUAAUGCCCUCGCCGGGACCGAGGUUCGCGCAUC